This 440-nucleotide ribosomal RNA is filed under the name uncultured Defluviitoga sp. Its description in RNAcentral is "bacterial SSU rRNA". It matches the Rfam family "Bacterial small subunit ribosomal RNA", at positions 338 to 795 of the family's 1533-position model. Lineage: Bacteria; Thermotogati; Thermotogota; Thermotogae; Petrotogales; Petrotogaceae. The record is from RNAcentral.
CCUACGGGUGGCUGCAGUGGGGAAUUUUGCGCAAUGGGGGGAACCUUGACGCAGCGACGCCGCGUGGGUGAUGAAGGCCUUCGGGUUGUAAAGCCCUGUUGGGGGGGAAGAUAAUGACGGUACCCCCUGAGGAAGCCCCGGCUAACUACGUGCCAGCAGCCGCGGUAAGACGUAGGGGGCAAGCGUUACCCGGAAUUACUGGGCGUAAAGGGGGCGUAGGCGGUAAAAGAAGUCAUCUGUGAAAACCUAUUGCUCAGCGAUAGGCUAGCGGAUGAAACUGAAUUACUUGAGGGCACCAGAGGUAGACGGAAUUACCCGAGUAGGGGUGAAAUCCGCAGAUACGGGUAGGAACGCCGGUGGAGAAGUCGGUCUACUGGGGUGCACCAGACGCUGAGGCCCGAAAGCUAGGGGAGCAAACCGGAUUAGAUACCCGGGUAGUC